AACGCACCUUGCGCUCCUUGGUAUUCCGAGGAGCAUGCCUGUUUGAGUGUCAUUAAUAUAUCAAUCUUCUCUUCUUGAGUUGUUUGGAUGUGGGGGUUUGCUGGCCUCUUAAGGAGGUUUCAGCUCCUCUGAAAUGCAUUAGCAGAACGACCUGUUCAUUGGCGUGAUAACUAUCUACGCUAUUGAAUGUAAGGGGCAGUUCAGCUUUCUAACAGUCUUUGGACAAUUUAUCAUUAAUGUGACCUCAAAUCAGGUAGGACUACCCGCUGAACUUAA
RNAcentral lists this unclassified non-coding RNA (276 nucleotides) under uncultured fungus. RNAcentral describes it as "partial contains 5.8S ribosomal RNA, internal transcribed spacer 2, and large subunit ribosomal RNA". The stretch from base 1 to 52 matches the Rfam family "5.8S ribosomal RNA", at positions 103 to 154 of the family's 154-position model. The record is from RNAcentral. Lineage: Eukaryota; Fungi.